Non-coding RNA from Brachypodium distachyon (stiff brome), 127 nucleotides. The record is from Rfam. Lineage: Eukaryota; Viridiplantae; Streptophyta; Magnoliopsida; Poales; Poaceae.
CUUGUACUCCCUCCGUCCCAUAUUAAGUGACUUUCUAUUACAUGUAUGUAGACGUAUUUUAGUAUAUAUAUACGUUCCAUAUUUAGACAAAUUUGAGUCACUUAAUAUGGGACGUAGGGAGUACUAA